GGGCGUAAGGGCUCGCAGGCGGUUUCUUAAGUCUGAUGUGAAAGCCCCCGGCUCAACCGGGGAGGGUCAUUGGAAACUGGGAAACUUGAGUGCAGAAGAGGAGAGUGGAAUUCCACGUGUAGCGGUGAAAUGCGUAGAGAUGUGGAGGAACACCAGUGGCGAAGGCGACUCUCUGGUCUGUAACUGACGCUGAGGAGCGAAAGCGUGGGGAGCGAACAGGAUUAGAUACCCUGGUAGUCCACGCCGUAAACGAUGAGUGCUAAGUGUUAGGGGGUUUCCGCCCCUUAGUGCUGCAGCUAACGCAUUAAGCACUCCGCCUGGGGAGUACGGUCGCAAGACUGAAACUCAAAGGAAUUGACGGGGGCCCGCACAAGCGGUGGAGCAUGUGGUUUAAUUCGAAGCAACGCGAAGAACCUUACCAGGUCUUGACAUCCUCUGACAACCCUAGAGAUAGGGCUUUCCCUUCGGGGACAGAGUGACAGGUGGUGCAUGGUUGUCGUCAGCUCGUGUCGUGAGAUGUUGGGUUAAGUCCCGCAACGAGCGCAACCCUUGAUCUUAGUUGCCAGCAUUCAGUUGGGCACUCUAGGGUGACUGCCGGUGACAAA
RNAcentral lists this ribosomal RNA (605 nucleotides) under Bacillus subtilis. Its description in RNAcentral is "bacterial SSU rRNA". It matches the Rfam family "Bacterial small subunit ribosomal RNA", at positions 556 to 1162 of the family's 1533-position model. Lineage: Bacteria; Bacillati; Bacillota; Bacilli; Caryophanales; Bacillaceae. The record is from RNAcentral.